GACGAACGCUGGCGGCGUGCUUAACACAUGCAAGUCGUACGGUAAGGCCCUUUCGGGGGUACACGAGUGGCGAACGGGUGAGUAACACGUGAGUAACCUGCCCACAACUUUGGGAUAACGCUAGGAAACUGGUGCUAAUACUGGCUAUGUGCUCCUGCUGCAUGGUGGGGGUUGGAAAGCUCCGGCGGUUGUGGAUGGACUCGCGGCCUAUCAGCUUGUUGGUGGGGUAGUGGCCUACCAAGGCGGCGACGGGUAGCCGGCCUGAGAGGGUGACCGGCCAAAUUGGGACUGAGAUACGGCCCAGACUCCUACGGGAGGCAGCAGUGGGGAAUAUUGCACAAUGGGCGCAAGCCUGAUGCAGCAACGCCGCGUGCGGGAUGACGGCCUUCGGGUUGUAAACCGCUUUCAGCAGGGACGAAGCUUUUUGUGACGGUACCUGCAGAAGAAGCACCGGCUAACUACGUG
Molecule: ribosomal RNA, 465 nt
Filed under: uncultured bacterium
Lineage: Bacteria
Description: partial 16S ribosomal RNA
Rfam family: Bacterial small subunit ribosomal RNA
Source: RNAcentral